GUGCCCUUUUAUGACUGACUUGUGUCUUAAAAGGCUAACACAGAAGGGUAAAGAAAAUCUCCAUAAAACCCAGAGAGUAGAUGGUAAAACUUCUCUUUGGAUCCUGUCUGGAGUUACAGCU
This is a small nucleolar RNA of Dipodomys ordii (Ord's kangaroo rat), 121 nucleotides long. The record is from Ensembl. NCBI's taxonomy places the organism in Eukaryota, Metazoa, Chordata, Mammalia, Rodentia, Heteromyidae.